RNAcentral lists this ribosomal RNA (1140 nucleotides) under Vibrio sp. H6A. Its description in RNAcentral is "bacterial SSU rRNA". It matches the Rfam family "Bacterial small subunit ribosomal RNA", at positions 54 to 1176 of the family's 1533-position model. Lineage: Bacteria; Pseudomonadati; Pseudomonadota; Gammaproteobacteria; Vibrionales; Vibrionaceae. The record is from RNAcentral.
CAUGCAGUCGAGCGGAACGAGUUAUCUGAACCUUCGGGGAACGAUAACGGCGUCGAGCGGCGGACGGGUGAGUAAUGCCUAGGAAAUUGCCCUGAUGUGGGGGAUAACCAUUGGAAACGAUGGCUAAUACCGCAUAAUGCCUACGGGCCAAAGAGGGGGACCUUCGGGCCUCUCGCGUCAGGAUAUGCCUAGGUGGGAUUAGCUAGUUGGUGAGGUAAUGGCUCACCAAGGCGACGAUCCCUAGCUGGUCUGAGAGGAUGAUCAGCCACACUGGAACUGAGACACGGUCCAGACUCCUACGGGAGGCAGCAGUGGGGAAUAUUGCACAAUGGGCGCAAGCCUGAUGCAGCCAUGCCGCGUGUGUGAAGAAGGCCUUCGGGUUGUAAAGCACUUUCAGUCGUGAGGAAGGURGUGUAGUUAAUAGCUGCAUUACUUGACGUUAGCGACAGAAGAAGCACCGGCUAACUCCGUGCCAGCAGCCGCGGUAAUACGGAGGGUGCGAGCGUUAAUCGGAAUUACUGGGCGUAAAGCGCAUGCAGGUGGUUUGUUAAGUCAGAUGUGAAAGCCCGGGGCUCAACCUCGGAAUAGCAUUUGAAACUGGCAGACUAGAGUACUGUAGAGGGGGGUAGAAUUUCAGGUGUAGCGGUGAAAUGCGUAGAGAUCUGAAGGAAUACCGGUGGCGAAGGCGGCCCCCUGGACAGAUACUGACACUCAGAUGCGAAAGCGUGGGAGCAAACAGGAUUAGAUACCCUGGUAGUCCACGCCGUAAACGAUGUCUACUUGGAGGUUGUGGCCUUGAGCCGUGGCUUUCGGAGCUAACGCGUUAAGUAGACCGCCUGGGGAGUACGGUCGCAAGAUUAAAACUCAAAUGAAUUGACGGGGGCCCGCACAAGCGGUGGAGCAUGUGGUUUAAUUCGAUGCAACGCGAAGAACCUUACCUACUCUUGACAUCCAGAGAACUUUCCAGAGAUGGAUUGGUGCCUUCGGGAACUCUGAGACAGGUGCUGCAUGGCUGUCGUCAGCUCGUGUUGUGAAAUGUUGGGUUAAGUCCCGCAACGAGCGCAACCCUUAUCCUUGUUUGCCAGCGAGUAAUGUCGGGAACUCCAGGGAGACUGCCGGUGAUAAACCGGAGGAAGGUGG